UACGUAGGGUGCAAGCGUUGUCCGGAAUCAUUGGGCGUAAAGAGCUCGUAGGCGGCUUAGUAAGUCGGGUGUGAAAACCCCAGGCUCAACCUGGGGACGCCACCCGAUACUGCUAUAGCUAGAGUCCAGUAGGGGAGUGUGGAAUUCCCAGUGUAGCGGUGAAAUGCGCAGAUAUUGGGAGGAACACCAGCGGCGAAGGCGGCACUCUGGGCUGGUACUGACGCUGAGGAGCGAAAGCGUGGGUAGCGAACAGG
Molecule: ribosomal RNA, 254 nt
Filed under: uncultured bacterium
Lineage: Bacteria
Description: partial 16S ribosomal RNA
Rfam family: Bacterial small subunit ribosomal RNA
Source: RNAcentral